GAUGAAGAACGUAGCGAAAUGCGAUAAGUAGUGUGAAUUGCAGAAUUCAGUGAAUCAUCGAAUCUUUGAACGCACAUUGCGCCCCUUGGUAUCCCGAGGGGCAUGCCUGUUCGAGCGUCAUUUCACCACUCAAGCCUGGCUUGGUGUUGGGCGACGUCCUCUUUGGGGACGCGCCUCGAAACGCUCGGCGGCGUGGCACCGGCUUUAAGCGUAGCAGAAUCUUUCGCUUUGGAAGUCGGGGCCCCGUCUGCCGGAAGACCUGCUCGCAAGGUUGACCUCGGAUCAGGCAGGGAUACCCGCUGAACUUAAGCAUAUCAAUAAGCGGGGGA
RNAcentral lists this unclassified non-coding RNA (329 nucleotides) under soil metagenome. Its description in RNAcentral is "partial contains 5.8S ribosomal RNA, internal transcribed spacer 2, and large subunit ribosomal RNA". The stretch from base 1 to 120 matches the Rfam family "5.8S ribosomal RNA", at positions 35 to 154 of the family's 154-position model. The record is from RNAcentral.